UCUCUCUCUCUCUCUCUCUCUCUCUCUCUCUCUCUCUCUCUCUCUCUCUCUCUCUCUCUCUCUCUCUCUCUCUCUCUCUCUCUCUCUCUCUUUCCUAGUAGCUCUUUGAUUCGAUCUGAUAAAUAUAUCAUGGAAGGAACAACUGAGAUGGUUGACCAGACGUACGAGUUCUUGGCUCCUGUGAUGGUUCGAUGGAAGACGUACAACUGCUACUCCUUUGAUCACACAGCAGUUCCAAGGGACAAAAACAAAACGCCUAAGCAGAUAGAAGAAAACAAGGAGAACAUUCCUCCUCCUAACCACCACUGCAGUCAUCUCAUGAACCGUAAGAAGCAGCAAACUGCUAGAAAGAUAGCUGAGGAAUCCAUCUGCAGUUUGGCCUAAAGGAACUAAUCAGAAAAUUGUGAAAAAGUCGUUUUGUUAUGCCUCCUUGCAGGGAAACGAGUCCCCAGAACAUAGCUCUGGCACUACCACUCUGAUGAUGGAAAAUCAAAAAGCAAAAGCUAGAUGAUGGAGAAUCAAGACAGAUACUAAAUCCAAAACCAACAACUCCUGCUCCCGUUAACACCCGUUUCAACCUAUGCCCUUUAGUCACUCCGAAGGAGAACAGAAAGGUUUAUUUAUGUCCGUGAGCAAGAAGAGCAGGCGAGACUUGUCAUGCCAACACUUGUCUUCCACAGGGGACAUAGGUUUACGGAUCAGGAAGUUGAGCCAGAUGCUUGUGUUGCGGUGAAGGAUUGGUGGUUCAACACUGGAUUCCACCUUGCAUAUGAUAUACAAUCCAUUUCUUUCACCUCUUCCAUUCCAUUCAUAUGAAGAGACCAUUGAAAAAUCUUGAGGUUGCUCACUUGCUCAUCAGCAAACAUUUACAGACUCAUGUAGACUCUGUAAACCAAGGUGGUAAAACUACAUCCAUGUGCACGACGAAAGACAGUUGUUGCCGAGCACUCCGUGCCAAGCUAUCCGCCCUUUUGUUCUCCGUCCUAGGAACAUGAACAAUUUCUGAGUUGACAAAACUUUGUCGCAAAGUCUUGAUAUCUUCCAGGUAGCUUUCAAAUGCUGGCCAUUCCUCUGGUUCCGAAACCAUCUUCACCAGUUGAGAACAAUCCGUUGCAAACGUAACCUGAAACUGCCUUAAAUUUUGCAUACAUUCCAUCGUCCAAAUCAAUGCCUCCAUCUCCGAAUGAAGAGGUGAGAGGGAUGCCCUUACAUUUCGUGCUCCCAAUAAGCCAUCAAACCCUGGCAGCGUGCUACGCCAUCCUUGUCCUGAAAAAAAAUCCUUAUCUUUCCAAGAACCAUCCGUGAAACACCAUCGUCCUAUGGUCCCUAUAUCAGGCCGUACUUGUACUUCCUGUACCAAUCUAUGAUCUUUAAUAACUUGUGCCUCAGCCCACAAUGUUGAUUCCACUUCUGCCAAUCUCAGCAUGUCUCUUGGGUCCAUAUCUAAAUUACUGAACACUUUGUUGUUCCGACCCUUCCAAAUAUACCAUAAUAUCCAUGCAAACUGGUGAUCCACCAUUUUUGGAUUAAGUCUCCAGAAUAGAUGAUCCAUAUUAGCAAAAAGAGAGCCAAUUGGGAAAAUGUUUGGAUUUGAUGGGAUUUUGGAUAAUGCCCACACUUGACGUGCUGGAGGACAUUAAAAAAACACAUGGUUUAUUGAUUCCUCCGGAGCUCCGCACCUGGCACAGCAGGUGUCUCCUUGCAUCCCUCGUGCUUUUAAUGUUUUCGUCACCGCUAUACAACCAGAUACCAGCUGCCAAAGAAAGUGUUUUAGCUUCGGAGGACACCUCACCUUCCAACAGUAUGCCUUAAGGAUAUCCACAUUAGGGCCAUAAAAAUCAGGUGGUUUCUCCUUGUCAGGAUAAAUCCUUUUUACCUGAUAUCCUGAUUGUACCGUAUAUUUUCCAUUUUUUGUGAAAUGCCAUCCAUUCCUAUCUGCCAACUGAUUUCUGCCCAAUGGUAUACUCUCAAUUAUUUUUGCAUCUUGUGGAUCCACCAAGUCCCUAAUUGCCUGUACAUUCCAUGUGCGUGAUUCUUGAUUAAUGAAAUAAUCUACAGUGAGGUCCGGGUAACUAUUAUGUAGGUUUUUGUUGGCUGGUCUCGGGCGAGUGGAUGAGAGCCAAGGGUCAUUCCAUACUGAAAUAGAUGAUCCUGUUCCUACCCUUUUAAUUAGUCCUUUAUAAACCAGAGAUCUAGCAGAAGUAAUACUCCUCCAGCCAUAUGACGGGGAGUAUGAGCGAAUCGGUUCCAGGGGUGAAGAAUUCCUGUAAUACCGUCCUUUGAAGACUCGAGCAAAGAGGGAAUUUGGCUUCUCGAUCAGCCGCCACAACUGUUUCCCAAGCAUUGCCGUAUUAAAAUCAGUCAAAUCCUUAAAACCCAACCCACCAUUGUCUUUAUGGGCACAUACUUUAUCCCAUGAUUUCCAAUGCAUACCUCUUGUGCUACCUCCUGGGCUCCACCAAAAUUGGGCGACUGCACCUGUGAGCUUCUUCACUGUAGUUUUCGGCAACCGGUACACAGACAUCACAUGGUUUGGCAAAGCCGUAAUCACUGAUUUAAUGAUCACCUCUUUUCCACCCUUGGUAAAAAAACGAAAGGUCCAUCCAUUAACCCUACUAUUCAGCUGUUCUUGUACAAAGCCAAACACUUGUACUUUAGAGCCACCUAGACUUUCCGGUAGUCCUAAAUAAGAUCUCAUUCCACCUAAAUUCUGGAUUCCCAAAAUAUCCCUCAAUUCUUGACGGCUAGCCUCUUCAAUCUUAUGUCCAAAUUGAAUGGAAGAUUUCUGAAAAUUAAUUUGUUGCCCUGAGACAGUUUCGUAUUCCUUUAGAAUCCUGAGAAUAGUCUGACACUCCUCCUUUUUUUCCUUGCAGAAAAACAAACUAUCAUCUGCAAAUAACAAAUGAGAGAUUGCAGGGCAAGCUCUUGCCACUUUCAUACCAGUUAAAUGUUUCAUCCGCUCUGCCUUUUUAAUAUUUGAAAUUAAUGCCUCCGUACACAUAAUAAAUAAAUAAGGGGAUAAGGGAUCCCCUUGCCGUAAACCUCGCUGGGGGGUUAUAAGACCCCGAGGUUGCCCAUUUAUAAGAACCCUGUAUUGGACUGAGGAAAUACAUUCGCGCAUUAAUUUGAUCCAGUGAGAAUCAAAACCCAUUUUGUAAAGGAGAGCCUCAUUGAAGUUCCACUCUAUCCGAUCAUAAGCCUUGCUCAUAUCUGUUUUAAUUGCCAUAAAAUUAUUCUGACAAGACUUAUUGGCUCUCAAACCAUGAAACAUUUCCUGUGCAAUAAGAAUAUUAUCCGAAAUUAGCCUUCCUGCCACAAAAGCCGAUUGUGUUUCCGAAAUUAGUCUGGGAAGACAACUUUUCAAUCUUUGACACAAAACUUUCUAUAUAAUCUUGUAGCCAACAUUACAAAGACUUAUCGGCCUUAGUUCCGUCAUCCUUGUCGGCCUCUCCCCUUUUGGUAUCAUACAAAUAUUAGUUAAAUUCAUCCUUGGAUCCAGAUCGCCUGUAAUCAAAAAAUUAUUCACCAGCUCCACCACAUCUGUUUUAAUAACAUGCCAAGAAUGUUGAAAAAAGAGAGCCGUCAUCCCAUCCGGCCCUGGCGCUUUUUCCGGAUGCAUCAUAAAUAGUGCUUGUCUGACUUCUUCCUCUGUUGCUAACCGUAGUAGCAUUUGAUUCAUCUGUGGAGAAAUUGUUGGUCCUAUCUCUUCCAGAAAACUAUCAAACUCAGUAGGAUUAGAAGAAUGAAACAAACCCUCAAAGUAAUUUACCGCCACAUUUUCAACACCAUUCUCAUCUGUAAUCCAUUUACCCGUAUCAUCAUGAAGGCCGACUAUUUUAUUUCGAAUGCGUCGUUGCUUUGUCAAAGCAUGAUAAAAUUUUGUGUUAAGAUCCCCGGAUGAAUGCCACAUAUUCCGACUCUUCUGAUGCCAAUACUCUUCCUCAUCCUUAUACGCCUCUUGUAAUUUCCUGGAAAUCUCAAUAAUCUCCUCUUGUGAUCUGUUGUUAUCUGUUUGUACCUCCUCCAGAGCUUGUUGAAGAUUAUGAAUUUUUUCCUUUCCAUAUGGUUGAUUUUCCUUCCGCCAAGAUGAUAUCUCAUGUCGGCAGUUACUAAUUUUAGUAACAAAAUCCUCUGAUUGACCUGUUCUGGAUUCUGUCCAGCCCGAUACAAUUGACUCCAUUAGCCCCUCUUGGCCUAACCACCUUUUAUCAAACCUAAAUUGUCCCCUUCUUCUCUUUGAUGAUCUGUCUUCCAAAAAAGCAAUCACAGGGCGAUGAUCCGAUCCCACCAUCCUCAAGUAUUCUGUAUAAGAAACUGGAAACAGUGUGUGCCAUUCUUCAUUAGCUAAGGCUCGAUCCAAUCUGCAUCUGACCAUCACCGUUCCUUUCCCUUUGCCUCUCCGGCCUUGCCAUGACAAUUUAUUACCUCGAGCUGGGAAUUCCAAUAACCCACUAUUUCGUAUCAUAUUAUUAAAAGGAAUAAAAGAUGUUGCACAUCGUAAAGAACCCCCAUCCUUUUCAUGAUUCCCAAUAAUCUCAUUUAGAUCUCCUAUAAUAAACCAAGGAUCCGACCUGGAUAACCCAUACCGGGUUAAUCGCUCCCAAACUUGUUCCCUUAGUUUCUGAUCCGGUUCACCAUAUACAAAUGUAAGGAAAACUUGUUUCCCUUUGACCACAGCCUCAAUCAUUCUAUUACUUGAAUAUAAAAUUUUAACUUGGAACUCAUUGUUAUAAUAGAGAGCUAAACCACCACUUCUCCCAAUUGGAUCCAUCGUAGCCAGAUUGUCAUAACCAAAGUGAAAUUGAAAUCCUUGUACUAAACCAAAAUCCUGUUUCGUUUCUGAUAAAAAUAAAAAAUCUGGUUUGUUUUUAUGCCAUAUUUCCCGGAGAUAACUCUUUGUCCAGUGACUUCCAAGACCUCUGCAAUUCCAACUUAAUAUUUUCAUAUAUAAAGAGACUGAUUUUGCCCUUUCGAGCGAGAGGACUGGAGUUUAAUGAUACUCAACAGUCUUAUAAUACCAGGUGCCUGGAAACCAUAAAUCCCGUACUCAAACCCAUUAAGUGUAUCACUAGACCCAUCAGGAUCAUGAUCACACCACCGAAACCCAUCUUUCCAAAUUGCCGAUGACUCCUUGCCGUCAUUCCAUAAACCCAUCAAAACAAGAUACAUAUUAUAUAUAUUUAAACCAUUACAGUUCUCUCUUAAAAAUACCAAUAGUUCAUAUAAAUGUGCAAGAUUUAUCAAUCGCUUAGCGAACCAGCUAUUUUGAUAAAACAUACCAUUAGACCCGUAAGACCAUUUCAGUGCAUUUAAACUAGCAACUAAGCCUACCAUAAACAUCCCAUUAGUUAAUUCAUAUAAAACACAAAGGGUACACAAUACUAUAUAUAACCCUCUAACUUGACUUAAGGAUGAACCCCAUCUCCUCGAUCUCAAACAAAUUUGCACCAUGAUACCUAAAAUCAUAGUCGCCAAUGAUCCCAAAGCCUCCAUAGUUCCGUACCAAACCAAGGCCAAUACCAUAUAUAAUAGACUCGUUAUAAGCCGACUCCCACAACCAUAUCUCCAAUCCAAAGAAUCCACACUCACACCACAUAACAUACGUAACAAUACACAUACGCAUACAGCAAGAAAACACCACCACAAACUUAAAAUUCCAAUUUUAUUCCAUAUCUUAAUAAAAGCCACAAUAAUCAUCACAAUUUCCUCUUUCCCCACCGUCAUUAUCGAAACUAAUAUAAAUAGGUCUUGAUCCAUAAUCUUAAAACUUGAGGUUCGUUGACUUCGGGUUUGAAGGCCCCUUUCUUUCUAACGGUUUACCACCAUCACCCUGACGAAUUCCCACCUUAGCUACAGCACGUUUGCGUGGAGAGAGAAGCGAGCUUGCCAUCCUCAUCUUGUUGCUACCCGCUGUGCUGGGUUUGAGCAGCCUCCUGCGAUUACUCUGUCUCGUCGCCAUGUCAUCUGCUACCGUUGCGUUGUUGCCAUCACCACUCACCAGUUCCUCUUGCCCAUCAACCUCAGCCAGUUGCUCAGCUUCCUCCUCCGAGAGAGUCUGAAACUCAUCCUCUACCUCCACAUCCUCACCAUUCUCCAAUAUGGAAGCAUGAAUAGCCUCUAUUUCCAUAUCAAUGUCAGCUGCUAUGUCCUCUUGUUGCCCCAUCACUCCCUUGAGCUUGAUUAAACCCAUCUCCUCCUCAGUAGUGUCAAUUAUCGCCUCUGAUCCUUCCGCCUGCGUCUUAGCUAGUUCAAGUUGAAACUCGUCAGUCGCUGCAUCAUCACCAGUACCCUUGAUCUCCCCUUCUUCCCUAACUGCGGAAACUGGAGUCCUCUGACCAUGAGAAUCUCUUGGUUGAUGCGAAGAAGGUCUAGCACGUAUCUCUUGAUCACCAACUCCCCCACGUGUGCCUCCACUUCUCCCCUCAUCCCUCCGCGUGUUUCUGUAUCGAGAGCCCUCACCAUCUCCUCUAUAACUUCCAUAGUAGGUAGAAGGCUUCCUAGAUCCCUUCUCAGCUACCUUGACCCACUUAGAGUCCACCACAUCAACCGCCUUUCCCUUUCCUUUCCCAUAGUUUUCCCGGUUGUCUCUUUCUUUGUUCUGUUGACCCGGUUGCCCGUUGAUGACCGCACCCUUAUAACUACGAGCUCGAUCCUCAUGUUUCGUACCAUCUGUCCACGCUCCAUUGCCUUCUCUAAGCUCCCUUCUUCUCUCUGGGCUCGACUUUAAAUUAUUGUCGUCUAAAGGACAUAGCUCCUCCUUGUGACAAAGACUAGCACAUAGCUUGCAGUGCCCGAAUAAAUUUUCAUAGCGCAGAAAGACUGCCGCUUCCUCAUUAUCAUAGUACUCUCCUCCUUUGAAAUCCACCAUCGUCUCCAGACACAGCUCCUCUACUUGAACUCUGUUAUACUUCACAUCAACCGCAACUACUCUCAAUCCCCGCAGAUACCAAAACACCCAAACCUCGGUAAGGUAAAACAGCCCCAUCUCCAGAAGGUAUGAAGAGGAAAGAAAAGAAUCACGAUCUAAAUUACAACCUGUAAAGAUCCUGAGAUCAAUCUCUAUUGCGUCCAGACUCCACCGCCCUUGGACCCAGAUCUUCAAUUUCCUUAAAAUCCGACAGUUCCUCUUUCCGAUUCCCGGGUCUCUCCCAAAUCGGACCAAAUAAAAGCCUUGAUUCCCAUAAUCCUUGUUGUGAUCACCAUAGAUCGAGUCCACCCAAUCCCCUGCUCGAAUUCCCGGAUUCCAUCUUCGUAAAAUCAUCAAACCCUAGUCGCCAAUAUCAUCACCGUGGCUGUAUAUGCUUUUUAAUAUUUAUUUAUUUAUAAUUGCUUAGUUAGACAAUGUGGAAUAAAAUAGUCAAAUUACUGUGACAAAAAUUGCUGUAGGUAACCAAUAUUAUCUAAAUAAACAACUACAAUUUUCUAAA
Molecule: long non-coding RNA, 7427 nt
Organism: Brassica napus (rape)
Lineage: Eukaryota; Viridiplantae; Streptophyta; Magnoliopsida; Brassicales; Brassicaceae
Exons: 7
Source: RefSeq, a predicted model, not a curated record